Molecule: ribosomal RNA, 444 nt
Filed under: Veillonella sp. oral taxon G81
Lineage: Bacteria; Bacillati; Bacillota; Negativicutes; Veillonellales; Veillonellaceae
Description: bacterial SSU rRNA
Rfam family: Bacterial small subunit ribosomal RNA
Source: RNAcentral
CGAACGCUGCCGGCGUGCUUACACAUGCAAGUCGAGCGAAGAGCAGCGGAAGCUUGCUUCGAUCAAUCUAUUGGAACGGGUGAGUAAAGUAGUAAUACUCUGCCCUUCGAGGGACAGCAGUUGAAUGACUGCUAAUCCGCAUAGAUCUAAUCUCGGCAUGAGUAUGGAUAAAGGUGGCCUGUCCAUGUAGUAUCAUAAGGAGGGAUUGCGUGAUUAGUAGUUGAAGGGGAACGGCCCCAAGGCGAUGAUCAGUACCCGGUCUGAUAGGAUGGGCCACAUGGAUUGAACCGGCCCAGACUCGUAGGGAGGCACAGCGAAUCUUCGCAAUGAAGAAGUCUGAGGAGCAACGCCGCGUGAGUGAUGACGGCCUUCGGUUGUAAAGCUACUGUUAAUCGGGAGAAAGGCUUCUGCAAUAGUGAGAAGGAUUGACGGUACCGGAAUAGA